RNAcentral lists this ribosomal RNA (301 nucleotides) under uncultured bacterium. RNAcentral's name for it is "partial 16S ribosomal RNA". It matches the Rfam family "Bacterial small subunit ribosomal RNA", at positions 509 to 809 of the family's 1533-position model. The record is from RNAcentral.
CAGCCGCCACGGUAAUACGGAGGGUGCAAGCGUUAAUCGGAAUUACUGGGCGUAAAGCGCACGCAGGCGGUCUGACAAGUCAGAUGUGAAAUCCCCGGGCUUAACCUGGGAACUGCAUUUGAAACUGUCAGGCUGGAGUCUUGUAGAGGGGGGUGGAAUUCCAGGUGUAGCGGUGAAAUGCGUAGAGAUCUGGAGGAAUACCGGUGGCGAAGGCGGCCCCCUGGACGAAGACUGACGCUCAGGUGCGAAAGCGUGGGGAGCAAACAGGAUUAGAUACCCCGGUAGUCCCUGUCUCUUAUAA